RNAcentral lists this long non-coding RNA (237 nucleotides) under Lathyrus oleraceus (garden pea). RNAcentral's name for it is "Pisum sativum (pea) long non-coding RNA (PSAT_LNC001422)". The record is from RNAcentral. Lineage: Eukaryota; Viridiplantae; Streptophyta; Magnoliopsida; Fabales; Fabaceae.
AUGGACCAUCCUCCUAGCUUUUAUGCUUGAUCAUUCCUUUUUUUCUUUUUGUGUGGCAUGACUUUAGGAGAAUGAUUUACAUAUCACUUCUCUAGCAUGUAUUAACACUAACAUUAUUAUUGGCCGGUCUCAGAUAGUUGUGACUUCUAUAUAAGUCCAAUUACGAUUGCUUAACAUAGCACUAAAUUUGUCCCGAAAGAAAAGGCAUUUUUAUAAGUGAUAUUGUAAGUCUCCUAC